This 72-nucleotide transfer RNA is filed under the name Potamilus alatus. RNAcentral describes it as "tRNA-Phe". Lineage: Eukaryota; Metazoa; Mollusca; Bivalvia; Unionida; Unionidae. The record is from RNAcentral.
UGAGGGAGGGUUACUUUGAACCGUGUUAACAUUUUCAGUGUUAUGCUUUGUAGGAUGGUAAGCUACUCUCUC